Molecule: ribosomal RNA, 492 nt
Filed under: uncultured bacterium
Lineage: Bacteria
Description: partial 16S ribosomal RNA
Rfam family: Bacterial small subunit ribosomal RNA
Source: RNAcentral
GAUGAACGCUGGCUACAGGCUUAACACAUGCAAGUCGAGGGGCAGCGGUAUCGAAAGCUUGCUUUCGGUAGCCGGCGACCGGCGCACGGGUGAGUAACGCGUAUCGAACCUGCCUCAUACUCGGGAAUAGCCUUGCGAAAGUAAGAUUAAUGCCCGGUGUUUUCAGAGUCCCGCAUGAGGCUUUGAACAAAGAUUUAUCGGUAUGAGAUGGCGAUGCGUCCCAUUAGCUUGUUGGCGGGGUAACGGCCCACCAAGGCAUCGAUGGGUAGGGGUUCUGAGAGGAAGGUCCCCCACAUUGGAACUGAGACACGGUCCAAACUCCUACGGGAGGCAGCAGUGAGGAAUAUUGGUCAAUGGGCGGAAGCCUGAACCAGCCAAGUAGCGUGCAGGAAGACGGCCCUCCGGGUUGUAAACUGCUUUUAGUUGGGAAUAAAACGGGGCUCGUGAGCCCCCUUGCAUGUACCAUCAGAAAAAGGACCGGCUAAUUCCGUG